CGCUUGGGGGAGUACGUUCGCCAAGACUGAUAACUCAAAGGAAAUUGACGGGGGCCCCGCACAAGCGGUGGAGCAUGUGGUUUUAAUUCGAUAGCAACGCGAAGAACCUUACCAGGUCUUGACUAUCCCGUUGACCACUGUAGAGAUAUGGUUUUCCCUUCGGGGACAACGGUGACAGGUGGUGCAUGGUUGUCGUCUAGCUCGUGUCGUGAGAUGUUGGGUUAAGUCCCGCAACGAGCGCAACCCUUGAUCUUAGUUGCCAUCAUUUAGUUGGGCACUCUAAGGUGACUGCCGGUGACAAACCGGAGGAAGGUGGGGAUGACGUCAAAUCAUCUAUGCCCCUUAUGACCUGGGCUACACACGUGCUACAAUGGACGAUACAAACGGUUGCCAACUCGCGAGAGGGAGCUAAUCCGAUAAAGUCGUUCUCAGUUCGGAUUGUAGGCUGCAACUCGCCUACAUGAAGCCGGAAUCGCUAGUAAUCGCGGAUCAGCAUGCCGCGGUGAAUACGUUCCCGGGCCUUGUACACACCGCCCGUCACACCACGAGAGUUUGUAACACCCGAAGUCGGUGGGGUAACCUUUAUGGGGCCAGCCGCCGAAGGUGGGAUAGAUGAUUGGGGUGAAGUCGUAACAAUGGUAGCCGUAUGCGGCAAGUGCGGCUGGAUCACCUCGCUUUACAACUAGAUGGCAUUCGCGAGUACCGG
This 706-nucleotide ribosomal RNA is filed under the name uncultured bacterium. Its description in RNAcentral is "bacterial SSU rRNA". It matches the Rfam family "Bacterial small subunit ribosomal RNA", at positions 870 to 1533 of the family's 1533-position model. The record is from RNAcentral.